Molecule: signal recognition particle RNA, 307 nt
Filed under: Nicotiana attenuata
Lineage: Eukaryota; Viridiplantae; Streptophyta; Magnoliopsida; Solanales; Solanaceae
Description: SRP RNA Plant_SRP
Rfam family: Plant signal recognition particle RNA
Source: Rfam by way of RNAcentral
GCCGAGCUCAGUAACGUGGGCUUGUAACCCAAGUGGGGGCAUUAAUGUGGUGGAAUAUUGAGCCUGUUCAGAUGGCAGGGUUUGGGUGGCUAAAUUCUGGCCUGCCCUAUCCAAGCUCAGAGUUGGGUCAUGUGGCCCAAACGAAGGUAUGGGCCCGCUUGGCUUCUAAAGUGGAGUGGACCGCGUGAGGCUGGUUUCACAGAGCAACGAAUAGCUCCCGCUCUGUCCAGUGGAAGGAUAAUGGGCUGCUGUCAUCUUUAAGCCCAAUAAACGCCUGAUGGCCUGCUCUAAUUAAACCACCACUUUU